This 749-nucleotide ribosomal RNA is filed under the name Micrococcus sp. MJ328. RNAcentral describes it as "bacterial SSU rRNA". It matches the Rfam family "Bacterial small subunit ribosomal RNA", at positions 61 to 823 of the family's 1533-position model. The record is from RNAcentral. Lineage: Bacteria; Bacillati; Actinomycetota; Actinomycetes; Micrococcales; Micrococcaceae.
GUCGUACGAUGAAGCCCAGCUUGCUGGGCGGAUUAGUGGCGAACGGGUGAGUAACACGUGAGUAACCUGCCCUUGACUCUGGGAUAAGCCCGGGAAACUGGGUCUAAUACCGGAUAGGAGCGCCUGUCGCAUGACGGGUGCUGGAAAGAUCUUUCGGUCAUGGAUGGACUCGCGGCCUAUCAGCUUGUUGGUGAGGUAACGGCCCACCAAGGCGACGACGGGUAGCCGGCCUGAGAGGGUGACCGGCCACACUGGGACUGAGACACGGCCCAGACUCCUACGGGAGGCAGCAGUGGGGAAUAUUGCACAAUGGGCGAAAGCCUGAUGCAGCGACGCCGCGUGAGGGAUGACGGCCUUCGGGUUGUAAACCUCUUUCAGCAGGGAAGAAGCGAAAGUGACGGUACCUGCAGAAGAAGCACCGGCUAACUACGUGCCAGCAGCCGCGGUAAUACGUAGGGUGCGAGCGUUAUCCGGAAUUAUUGGGCGUAAAGAGCUCGUAGGCGGUUUGUCACGUCUGUCGUGAAAGUCCGGGGCUUAACCCCGGAUCUGCGGUGGGUACGGGCAGACUAGAGUGCAGUAGGGGAGACUGGAAUUCCUGGUGUAGCGGUGAAAUGCGCAGAUAUCAGGAGGAACACCGAUGGCGAAGGCAGGUCUCUGGGCUGUAACUGACGCUGAGGAGCGAAAGCAUGGGGAGCGAACAGGAUUAGAUACCCUGGUAGUCCAUGCCGUAAACGUUGGGCACUAGGUGU